AGUGAACGCUGGCGGUAGGCCUAACACAUGCAAGUCGAACGGCAGCACAGUAAGAGCUUGCUCUUACGGGUGGCGAGUGGCGGACGGGUGAGGAAUACAUCGGAAUCUACUUUUUCGUGGGGGAUAACGUAGGGAAACUUACGCUAAUACCGCAUACGACCUACGGGUGAAAGCAGGGGAUCUUCGGACCUUGCGCGAUUGAAUGAGCCGAUGUCGGAUUAGCUAGUUGGCGGGGUAAAGGCCCACCAAGGCGACGAUCCGUAGCUGGUCUGAGAGGAUGAUCAACCACACUGGAACUGAGACACGGUCCAGACUCCUACGGGAGGCAGCAGUGGUGAAUAUUAGACAAUGGGCGCAAGCCUGAUCCAGCCAUACCGCGUAGGUGAAGAAGGCCUUCGGGUUGUAAAGCCCUUUUGUUGGGAAAGAAAAGCAGCAGGUUAAUACCCCGCUGUUCUGACGGUACCCAAAGAAUAAGCACCGGCUAACUUCGUG
RNAcentral lists this ribosomal RNA (492 nucleotides) under uncultured bacterium. Its description in RNAcentral is "partial 16S ribosomal RNA". It matches the Rfam family "Bacterial small subunit ribosomal RNA", at positions 29 to 507 of the family's 1533-position model. The record is from RNAcentral.